AACAAACGCUGGCGGCGUGCCUAAUACAUGCAAGUCGAACGGGGAAAGCUUUCGUGUGAGUACUAGUGGCGCACGGGUGAGGAACGCGUGGAUAAUCUGCCUUAGAGUGGGGGAUAACUAGUCGAAAGAUUAGCUAAUACCGCAUAAGACCACGAGAGCUGCGGCUUUUGAGGUCAAAGGUUUUUCGCUCUAAGAUGAGUCCGCGUAAGAUUAGCUAGUUGGUGAGGUAACGGCUCACCAAGGCGACGAUCUUUAACUGGUCUGAGAGGAUGAUCAGUCACACUGGAACUGAGACACGGUCCAGACUCCUACGGGAGGCAGCAGUAGGGAAUAGUGCACAAUGGAGGAAACUCUGAUGCAGCGACGCCGCGUGAGUGAUGAAGGCCUUCGGGUCGUAAAGCUCUGUCGCAGGGGAAUAACACAAUGAAGGUACCCUGUAAGAAAGGAUCGGCUAACUUCGUG
This 462-nucleotide ribosomal RNA is filed under the name uncultured bacterium. RNAcentral's name for it is "partial 16S ribosomal RNA". It matches the Rfam family "Bacterial small subunit ribosomal RNA", at positions 29 to 507 of the family's 1533-position model. The record is from RNAcentral.